Oreochromis niloticus (Nile tilapia) is the source of this 1518-nucleotide long non-coding RNA. RefSeq lists it as uncharacterized. The transcript is spliced from 3 exons. NCBI's taxonomy places the organism in Eukaryota, Metazoa, Chordata, Actinopteri, Cichliformes, Cichlidae. The record is from RefSeq and is a predicted model, not a curated record.
UGGAUGGGGGCCGGGGGGGUGGACGAAUGAAUACACAGACAGGUGGACGAUUUGAGGUAAGGAUAGGGGAGAGAUGAAGUGAUACAUAAGCAUGCAAAUAGAAAUCGCCACAGAAAAAAGAGUGUUGGAGCAAAGGGAUGGAGAAGCUCAGGGGUCAUGUGUGGAGAAGAUGUUUAAGGCUGCACUAAAACUCACAUUUAAGACACUCAAGGGAAACAACAAAGACACAGCAAGACAAAAGACAAGAGAAAACACACAAGAAAUGAAAAGGGGAGAGAUGGCAGAUGAAUGUUUCUGAUUACACACUUCAUGCCUCCAGUGAGGUGGUUUUACAUGCGCAUGAACACAGAACAUGAUAGAGGGAAAGGAAUGCUGAGAGGAGAAACCGUCUGGGGGAUCGCUGUCACCAAACUGCUGCGCUGUUGUAUAGUGAAACCAGAUGAGCCCUGUUGCAGUCAAAUCCGUCUGCGCUGCCAGGUGUUGUUCCACAAGACCAGAGCCACGUGUGUGUGACGAAUGGGAUGGUCAAUAAAACUUGUGUUUGUUUUUCUUGUGUGCGUGCAUAAUACGAAGCAGGAUGCGGUCCCGGACGUAAACAGCUUUCACCCACUGAUUCGAAUCAUUCAAAAAAAAAAAUCAUGGGAAAAAUGUAUCUUUUACAGUACAGCUGACCACGUUUGAACCUGUUUUUUCAGGAUUUGCAGGUAUGCUCAGGUGUGCACGAUUUAGCUCUUUAACCCCAUCAUUUGUCUACUAAUGCGACAAAAGCAGAUUAUAUUUUAUCCUUCAUCUAUUAUUAGAUUCAAAUCUAAAGAGCAGAAGAGGACCAAUAGAUGACAGAUUUGCCUUUAGUAAACAGUUAAAGUCCCAUCCCGAUCCCAUUUUGUUGUGCUCUUACACACAGUGUUGAGAAAAGCCUGUGCUGGUUUAAUACCGUGUUCGCCUGUAUUAGAAUUCCAAGCAAACCCCGAAGGCGUGCGCAGCUGCUGAAAACAAUUAUUUUUAUUCCAGUGCAGCAGAAGUCUGCAGUAGUGUUUCUUUGCAGCAGGAAAACCCACGCUGUGAGUAGGGAGGACACAUGGGUAGCUGUUACAGCGGGUCUGUGAGGAGCAGAGGCUCAGUGAUGUUUGGACUUACAUGGACUGAAGAUCUGAUUCCAUUGAAAGGUUGGAAGCCGGCUCUCUGUGGGGACGCGGGGCUGCAGGGCGAGGCGUGACCGGAUCGUCCAAGAGAGGCCCUGCGGCUCCGCCUCCUCUCCAGGCCAUGUCUUUUGUCCCCGCCCCGAGGCUGGCUCGCCUGCGUUCCCGGCGUACCAUUGGUGGAGGCUGGCUGUCAUCAUCACCAUCUUCAUGCCGUAGGGUCGUCUGGGGAAAGACAUGACAGGUGUCUUUGGGAAACUGUCUCCAUGCCCUGCUCCUCCAGACCAUCUACCAUAUCAUAAAACGAAUCCUGGUCGGGCAGUGCUGCAAGAGUCUGCAAAAAGAAAGGAGACGUCGUCAAGAUGUAACCAAGGUUUAA